UCCGGCUUCUGUAGGGCUCGCGGGAGCAGGAAGUCAUGUGAUCCUGUAGCGAUCACAUGACUUCCCCUGGAAAGAAUACGUCACUCGUGGGGACAACUGCGGUAGGACUCCAACGUACUGAUUAAAUCGGUUAUCGGGGAAAAUAUCAUUGUUUUGUUUAAAUGCUGUUGACAGAGAAAGUUUGCUUACAUAUUAAGCAAAAACGUUUAGCUGGAUAAGGAUAUGAUCCCUGAAAUGUAUAAAGCCAUAUAUCAAAUACAGGCUACUGCUGUGAAUUACCAAAAUGGAAAUGGCAGGAGAGAGACGCUGCCUGCCUUCGGCUAAGGAAGCAGGAACCCCAGGCAUCGUCCAGAUAGAAGUGAUCGCUGUUCAUUGAAAUUGAUACUUUAUCACCUGCUGAGAAAAGGAAUGAAUGCUGAUCUCAAUCGACUGUACGAAGAGAUAUAUGAUGGAGCUUCCAGGGCGAUAUUUUAAGAUAGCAGUAAACCAUUAGCUGUACUGUAAUCUCAUAUUACACAAAAGGCAUUGUUUUAGUGGUCUGAACGCUUGUUUCAUCUUCUCCUACCACAUCAGACUGUUCCCCUAAUGCUUUAGGGCCGCGGCGGUUUUCUUUUCCAAGCUAUAAUUUCUCUCCUAUACGUGUUGUCCCAUUGUAAUUAAAAAAUGCCAUUGGUUUGCAAGUGAAAGCAGCUAAAUUAAACUUCACUCGCAAGCACAGACGUGUACGGUUUUGUUUCUUAAGGAUGUAAAACGUUGCUUUGCAAAUAAAUUUGUUCAGUUGCUUUGUGACGGGUGGUGUGGACGUCUCACGCUACAGUAAAAUGAAACAGUUUUAAAGUACCGUUGGUAUUCCAUGAAAUGCAGUUUGGUACCCCCUUGCUAAACAAGACUAACAUACAUUAACAUACUUUUAAUGCAAGUUUUGUGCUAAGAAGAAUUAUGUGAUUUAUAGUUUCAUUAUAAAUUAAAUCAGACAUGUGUAUUUAACAGAAACUUAGUGAUCCCCAUGUGCAAAAGUAAGUCAACCUUUUUAUUCAAUAAGCAGCAGCCUAUCCUUUAGCCACUAUGGCAGCAACCAAAUAUUUCCUACAGUCACUGAUCAGUCUCUCGCAUCAGCUUAGAGGAAUUUUUGCCUUUUCUUCCUUACAAAACCGCUUCAGCUGCUCCGAAUGUGUUGGCUGUCUCGCAUGAACAGCCCACUUCAGGUCUUGUCAAAUCAUUUCUUGUGGGUUUAGGAAAGCACCACAUUUCUUCCUCUUAAUCCAGUCUUUGUUAGAUUUGCUGGAAUUUCUAGGGUUGUUGUCAUGUUAGAGGACCCAUUUUCAGCUCAGCUGCAAUUCGCAGACGGGGCCUGGUGCUACCCUACAGAAUUCUUUGGUAUGACUCUGAAUUCAUGGUUUCCUCAAUGACAGGAAGCUGACCAGGUCCAUGGGAAAAGCAGAAAAGCAGCCUCAAACGAUGACACUCCCAACAGCAUGCCUGACAUUGGGGAUGAGGUUUUUUAUGGGGUACUGUAGGUUUUCGCCAAACGUGACAUUGUGAUGUCCAACAAGAUCGGUUUUAGACUCAUCUGUCCAGAGAACGUUCUUCCAGAAAUCUACAGGAUCGUCCAGAUGGUCUUUUGCAAACUGAAGGUGUCCCCACAGCCAGGACUGGGAGAUUUGAAGAAAAUCUUCCAAGUAGGGAUGAGAGGCUCGUGUUGGGGGAAAAAAAAAACCACAGACCAAUUAUUGACCUUGUCAGUAAAUGUCUGGACUUGAUUACACACUUCAGAAAUGGAAAUGACUCCUCCAAAAAACAUGUUUAAUGCAGAAAUAUGUUCCAGACAAUAAAUCAGGAUCUGCUUAAAGCAUGUCUGUGUUUGAAAUAUGGAACAAUGCUGGUUAAUGUAUACUCUUUUAUAUUUAAAUGAAUUUAAUGCAUAUUGUCUUUCAUUACAGCAGACUAACUUCAUGCUUUUGAAGUGACAGAUGAAUCGGAAGAAAAGUAUUGCUGGCCUGCCUGACUUUUUUAUUCUUUUUAAAGAUGUGUUAGAAGCCAAAAUAUGCAGUGGUGGAUUGGGAAACACAGUCUCUGCUAAUGUUUCUUAAAUGUCUUAAGGCCUUUGUCUCACUCAGCAAUCAAUAAAAAUGACAUCAAAGGAAGCAAUUUUCAUUAAAGAAAAAGUGUUUUAUUUAGUAAAAGAAAACUGUAAA
Non-coding RNA from Lepisosteus oculatus (spotted gar), 2195 nucleotides. NCBI's taxonomy places the organism in Eukaryota, Metazoa, Chordata, Actinopteri, Semionotiformes, Lepisosteidae. The record is from RefSeq and is a predicted model, not a curated record.